AACUUGAUAGAUAUAUGCAUCAACGAGAUUUGCUAUUAUUUUGUUGCAUAGUCUAUUAAGUUGG
This 64-nucleotide microRNA precursor is filed under the name Schmidtea mediterranea. Its description in RNAcentral is "Sme-Mir-153_pre stem-loop". Lineage: Eukaryota; Metazoa; Platyhelminthes; Tricladida; Dugesiidae. The record is from RNAcentral.